UCGUGUUUUGGUGACUCUGAAUAGCUACAGCUGAUCGCAUGGUCUUGCACCGGCGACGUGUCUAUCAAGUGUCUGCCUUAUCAACUUUCGAUGGUAGUUUAUGUGCCUACCAUGGUUGUUACGGGUAACGGAGAAUAAGGGUUCGACUCCGGAGAGGGAGCCUGAGAAACGGCUACCACAUCCAAGGAAGGCAGCAGGCGCGCAAAUUACCCACUCUCGGCAUGAGGAGGUAGUGACGAAAAAUAACGAGACCGUUCUCAAUGAGGCCGGUUAUCGGAAUGGGUACAAUUUAAACCUGUUAACGAGGAUCUAUGAGAGGGCAAGUCUGGUGCCAGCAGCCGCGGUAAUUCCAGCUCUCAAAGUGUAUAUCGUCAUUGUUGCGGUUAAAAAGCUCGUAGUUGGAUCUGCGCUUGAAGACUUGGUCCACCAAUUUUGGUGCUGAACUAAGCUCUUCGGCUAUUGAUGUGCUGGUUUUCCCUACGUUACCUUUACCGGUCGCGUAGGGUGGCUAGCGAGUUUACUUUGAAAAAAUUAGAGUGCUUAAAGCAGGCUUUUAAGUCUGAAUAUUUGUGCAUGGAAUAAUAGAAUAGGAUCUCGGUUCUAUUUUGUUGGUUUUCUGAUCCGAGAUAAUGGUUAAGAGGGACAGACGGGGGCAUUCGUAUCGCUGCGUGAGAGGUG
This 678-nucleotide ribosomal RNA is filed under the name Skrjabinema longicaudatum. RNAcentral describes it as "SSU rRNA". It matches the Rfam family "Eukaryotic small subunit ribosomal RNA", at positions 236 to 913 of the family's 1831-position model. The record is from RNAcentral. Lineage: Eukaryota; Metazoa; Nematoda; Chromadorea; Rhabditida; Oxyuridae.